RNAcentral lists this ribosomal RNA (484 nucleotides) under uncultured bacterium. Its description in RNAcentral is "partial 16S ribosomal RNA". It matches the Rfam family "Bacterial small subunit ribosomal RNA", at positions 30 to 507 of the family's 1533-position model. The record is from RNAcentral.
AUUGAACGCUGGCGGCAGGCCUAACACAUGCAAGUCGAGCGGAUGAGGGGAGCUUGCUCCUGGAUUCAGCGGCGGACGGGUGAGUAAUGCCUAGGAAUCUGCCUGGUAGUGGGGGAUAACGUCCGGAAACGGGCGCUAAUACCGCAUACGUCCUGAGGGAGAAAGUGGGGGAUCUUCGGACCUCACGCUAUCAGAUGAGCCUAGGUCGGAUUAGCUAGUUGGUGGGGUAAAGGCCUACCAAGGCGACGAUCCGUAACUGGUCUGAGAGGAUGAUCAGUCACAGUGGAACUGAGACACGGUCCAGACCCCUACGGGAGGCAGCAGUGGGGAAUAUUGGACAAUGGGCGAAAGCCUGAUCCAGCCAUGCCGCGUGUGUGAAGAAGGUCUUCGGAUUGUAAAGCACUUUAAGUUGGGAGGAAGGGCAGUAAGUUAAUACCUUGCUGUUUUGACGUUACCAACAGAAUAAGCACCGGCUAACUUCGUG